Molecule: unclassified non-coding RNA, 406 nt
Filed under: soil metagenome
Description: partial contains 5.8S ribosomal RNA, internal transcribed spacer 2, and large subunit ribosomal RNA
Rfam family: 5.8S ribosomal RNA (bases 1-121)
Source: RNAcentral
GAUGAAGAACGUAGCGAAAUGCGAUAAGUAAUGUGAAUUGCAGAAUUCAGUGAAUCAUCGAAUCUUUGAACGCACCUUGCGCCCUUUGGCCAUUCCGAAGGGCAUGCCUGUUUGAGUAUCAUGAACACCUCAACUCUUCAUGGUUUUCCAUGAUGAGCUUGGACUUUGGGGGUCUUGCUGGCCUGUGGGUCGGCUCCUCUCAAAUGAAUCAGCUUGCCGGUUUUUGGUGGGCAUCACAGGUGUGAUAACUAUCUACGCUUGUGGUUUUCCACCAGGGUAACCUUCAGCAGUGGAGGUUCGCUGGAGCUCAUAGAUGUCUCUCCUCAGUGAGGACAGCCCUUUGAAUGUUUGAUCUCAAAUCAGGUAGGACUACCCGCUGAACUUAAGCAUAUCAAUAAGCGGAGGA